RNAcentral lists this ribosomal RNA (378 nucleotides) under uncultured organism. Its description in RNAcentral is "partial 16S ribosomal RNA". It matches the Rfam family "Bacterial small subunit ribosomal RNA", at positions 527 to 897 of the family's 1533-position model. The record is from RNAcentral.
GAACUGCGCAAACGUUAUUCGGGAAUUACUGGGGCUUAAAGGGUGCGUAGGCGGCUAUGCAAGUUGGGGUGUGAAAUCCCACGGGCUCAACCGUGGAACUGCGCCCAAAAACUGCAUAGCUCGAGGGAGAUAGAGGUGAGCGGAACUACGGGUGGAGCGGUGAAAUGCGUUGAUAUCCGUAGGAACACCGGUGGCGAAAGCGGCUCACUGGGUCUCUUCUGACGCUGAGGCACGAAAGCUAGGGGAGCGAACGGGAUUAGAUACCCCGGUAGUCCUAGCUGUAAACGAUGAGCACUAGGUCGGGGGGACUCCCAUAUCCUCUCGGCCGAACAGAAAUAGUUAAGUGCUCCGCCUGGGGAGUAUGGCCGCAAAGGCUGA